ACGGAAGGCAGCAGUGGGGAAUAUUGGGCAAUGGGCGAAAGCCUGACCCAGCAACGCCGCGUGAAGGAAGAAGGCCUUCGGGUUGUAAACUUCUUUUACCAGGGACGAAGGACGUGACGGUACCUGGAGAAAAAGCAACGGCUAACUACGUGCCAGCAGCCGCGGUAAUACGUAGGGGGCAAGCGUUAUCCGGAUUUACUGGGUGUAAAGGGAGCGUAGGUGGCCAUGCAAGUCAGAUGUGAAAUCCCGGGGCUCAACCCCGGAGCUGCAUUUGAAACUGCGUAGCUAGAGUGCAGGAGAGGUAAGCGGAAUUCCUAGUGUAGCGGUGAAAUGCGUAGAUAUUAGGAGGAACACCAGUGGCGAAAGCGGCUUGCUGGACUGCAACUGACACUGAGGCUCGAAAGCGUGGGGAGCAAACAGGAUUAGAUACCCUGGUA
RNAcentral lists this ribosomal RNA (437 nucleotides) under uncultured Oscillospiraceae bacterium. Its description in RNAcentral is "partial 16S ribosomal RNA". It matches the Rfam family "Bacterial small subunit ribosomal RNA", at positions 341 to 792 of the family's 1533-position model. The record is from RNAcentral. Lineage: Bacteria; Bacillati; Bacillota; Clostridia; Eubacteriales; Oscillospiraceae.